GAUGAACGCUGGCGGCGUGCCUAAUACAUGCAAGUCGAGCGAACAGAUGAGGAGCUUGCUCCUCUGACGUUAGCGGCGGACGGGUGAGUAACACGUGGAUAACCUACCUAUAAGACUGGGAUAACUUCGGGAAACCGGAGCUAAUAUCGGAUAAUAUAUUGAACCGCAUGGUUCAAUAGUGAAAGACGGUUUUGCUGUCACUUAUAGAUGGAUCCGCGCCGCAUUAGCUAGUUGGUAAGGUAACGGCUUACCAAGGCAACGAUGCGUAGCCGACCUGAGAGGGUGAUCGGCCACACUGGAACUGAGACACGGUCCAGACUCCGACGGGAGGCAGCAGUAGGGAAUCUUCCGCAAUGGGCGAAAGCUUGACGGAGCAACGCCGCGUGAGUGAUGAAGGUCUUCGGAUCGUAAAACUCUGUUAUUAGGGAAGAACAAAUGUGUAAGUAACUAUGCACGUCUUGACGGUACCUAAUCAGAAAGCCACGGCUAACUACGUG
RNAcentral lists this ribosomal RNA (497 nucleotides) under uncultured bacterium. Its description in RNAcentral is "partial 16S ribosomal RNA". It matches the Rfam family "Bacterial small subunit ribosomal RNA", at positions 28 to 507 of the family's 1533-position model. The record is from RNAcentral.